CAUGGCCUCAACAUCAACACAAAUUGAGUCUGCACCACUUUCCAGCACCUCAACAACACAAGCUGCACCAUCAACUUCAUCUCCCAUUCAUGAGGAAGAAGAAGACAUGGGAGACUACAUCCAGUGGUACCAUGGCCUCAACAUCAACACAAAUUGAGUCUGCACCACUUUCCAGCACCUCAACAACACAAGCUGUACCAUCAACUCCAGCUCUCAUUCAGAAAGACAACGAGGAAAGAAGACAUGGAAGAGACUACAUCCAGUGGUUCCAUGGCCUCAUCAUCAACAUUAAGUGACUCUGCACCACUUCUCAGCACUGAUGUUACCUCUACAGCACAAGCCCAGUGCAGAGUUUGUGAUAUCCCUGACUGGUAAUCAUGGGGGCAC
Molecule: long non-coding RNA, 387 nt
Organism: Scomber japonicus (chub mackerel)
Lineage: Eukaryota; Metazoa; Chordata; Actinopteri; Scombriformes; Scombridae
Exons: 4
Source: RefSeq, a predicted model, not a curated record